GACGAACGCUGGCGGCGUGCUUAACACAUGCAAGUCGAACGGAAAGGCCCUGCUUUUGUGGGGUGCUCGAGUGGCGAACGGGUGAGUAACACGUGAGUAACCUGCCCUUGACUUUGGGAUAACUUCAGGAAACUGGGGCUAAUACCGGAUAGGAGCUCCUGCUGCAUGGUGGGGGUUGGAAAGUUUCGGCGGUUGGGGCUGGACUCGCGGCUUAUCAGCUUGUUGGUGGGGUAGUGGCUUACCAAGGCUUUGACGGGUAGCCGGCCUGAGAGGGUGACCGGCCACAUUGGGACUGAGAUACGGCCCAGACUCCUACGGGAGGCAGAAGGGGGGAAUAUUGUACAAUGGGCGGAAGCCUGAUGCAGCGACGCCGCGUGCGGGAUGACGGCCUUCGGGUUGUGAACCGCUUUCGCCUGUGACGAAGCGUGAGUGACGGUAAUGGGUGAAGAAGCACCGGCUAACUACGUG
This 468-nucleotide ribosomal RNA is filed under the name uncultured bacterium. RNAcentral describes it as "partial 16S ribosomal RNA". It matches the Rfam family "Bacterial small subunit ribosomal RNA", at positions 28 to 507 of the family's 1533-position model. The record is from RNAcentral.